This 315-nucleotide ribosomal RNA is filed under the name uncultured bacterium. RNAcentral describes it as "bacterial SSU rRNA". It matches the Rfam family "Bacterial small subunit ribosomal RNA", at positions 28 to 334 of the family's 1533-position model. The record is from RNAcentral.
GAUAAACGCUGGCGGCGCACAUAAGACAUGCAAGUCGAACGGACUUAACCAUUAGUUUACUAUUGGAGCGGUUAGUGGCGGACUGGUGAGUAACACGUAAGCAACCUGCCUAUCAGAGGGGAACAACAGUUAGAAAUGACUGCUAAUACCGCAUAUGCCUUGAGUUAUGCAUGUAACAAAAGGGAAAGGAGCAAUCCGCUGAUAGAUGGGCUUGCGUCUGAUUAGAUAGUUGGUGGGGUAAUGGCCUACCAAGUCGACGAUCAGUAGCCGGACUGAGAGGUUGAACGGCCACAUUGGGACUGAGAUACGGCCCAG